AUGGUGGCACUUUUCGGUGUCGUUCCCUUGUUGAAGGCAUCACUGUUGAGAAGUUCCAGGCCACUAUCUGCUAUCUCCGAGGGAAACCCUAGAUCAGUAGAUCAGAUGACGGCGACAUUAUUGUGUCGUUUUCCUCUUGUGGCGUCUUUCUUGGAGGUGUACACGGGUUCGAGGGACCAGUGGACAGAAUAUUUGGUGGAGCGGUGCUUCAUCCUGCACAUUAAUGGUGGCGUUUCUCGGCGGCGUGGCGUGGUGGAGACUCAGCGCCGGAUGUGUGGCGAGGGACUCGCGCAGAAAGGUGCCGUUAUCAAGCGCCGUGGUGGUGUCGAUGGCAGAGAGGCCGGGCAAGGUGGUGUAGCAGUACACACUGAAGAUGAAUUGGAGGCAGGUGGCUGCCGCGGUCUCAUACGCGGCAGGCGCCCUGGUUGA
This 429-nucleotide ribosomal RNA is filed under the name Triticum aestivum (bread wheat). RNAcentral describes it as "partial small subunit ribosomal RNA". The record is from RNAcentral. Lineage: Eukaryota; Viridiplantae; Streptophyta; Magnoliopsida; Poales; Poaceae.